This 570-nucleotide ribosomal RNA is filed under the name Helotiales sp. I12F-02299. RNAcentral's name for it is "eukaryotic LSU rRNA". It matches the Rfam family "Eukaryotic large subunit ribosomal RNA", at positions 50 to 635 of the family's 3401-position model. Lineage: Eukaryota; Fungi; Ascomycota; Leotiomycetes; Helotiales. The record is from RNAcentral.
UGGGAGGAAAAGAAACCAACAGGGAUUGCCUCAGUAACGGCGAGUGAAGCGGCAACAGCUCAAAUUUGAAAUCUGGCUCUUUCAGGGUCCGAGUUGUAAUUUGUAGAAGAUGCUUCGGGUGUGGCUCCGGUCUAAGUUCCUUGGAACAGGACGUCAUAGAGGGUGAGAAUCCCGUAUGUGACUGGCUGCCUUCGCCUAUGUGAAGCUCUUUCGACGAGUCGAGUUGUUUGGGAAUGCAGCUCAAAAUGGGUGGUAAAUUUCAUCUAAAGCUAAAUAUUGGCCAGAGACCGAUAGCGCACAAGUAGAGUGAUCGAAAGAUGAAAAGCACUUUGGAAAGAGAGUUAAACAGUACGUGAAAUUGUUGAAAGGGAAGCGCUUGCAACCAGACUUGCACUUGGUCGAUCAUCCGAGGUUCUCCCCGGUGCACUCGACCUCGUUCAGGCCAGCAUCGGUUCAGGUGGUGGGAUAAAGGCCUUGGGAAUGUAGCUUCUUUCGGGGAGUGUUAUAGCCCUCGGUGCAAUGCCGCCUAUCUGGACCGAGGACCGCGCUCGGCUAGAUGCUGCGUACCAU